Molecule: unclassified non-coding RNA, 330 nt
Filed under: Hevea brasiliensis (rubber tree)
Lineage: Eukaryota; Viridiplantae; Streptophyta; Magnoliopsida; Malpighiales; Euphorbiaceae
Source: RNAcentral
AUUUCAAUGGAAAGCUUGAAAACAUAAUGAUUUCACACAGAUUACAAGUUUUUCCCAAUAUUUGGGGGGAAAUGAAGAAGGUGUUGAACCAAGACGUACAUUCAUACAGGAACAUUUAGCCAAAAACCACAAUGAUUGCUCACUUACUUCCAGAGAGCGGUUAUAAUUAAGCUGAAACUACAAAACUGUACCUAUAAACACUAGAGAAAAUUGCAGCAUAAGAUCACCUGCAUACAAAUAUAAAUCAUGAGCUCUUAGUUUCUAACUGCAGAACCUUAUAUAACCACCAGAUUGUCAUAGAAAGGAAAGGAAGAUGGAGAAUCAACUUUU